UUUCUCUGCAAAUAAUCUGUGUUUAAAAUUGAAAGGAAAAAAACCAAGAAUUCAAAAAAUGGUUGGCUAUGUUGGGGUGUUUGUGUCGGAUCCAUGGCUUCAAUUCACUCAAGUAGAGCUCUGGAGCUUGAAAACCCAAGGAACUUAGACAUUUUUAUGAGAAUUCGUACAAUGCCCUUGAAAAUAGUCUGCAGGAGAUAGAUAAAUUACUGAAUGAGUGCUCUUGAGCUCAAGGUAAAUAUCUUGAAAUCCCAUGUUUUCAGACUUCAAUGACCAUUUCUGUAAUUUUUAGACUUUUUUACUUUUCAGUAUUUACAUUUAGGUACGACCUUGCCAAUGCUACCAUCUUCAUGGGCCAGUCCGUAAGUGGAAAAAGAAGUGGGUCAAUAUGCCGCUCUCCAAUUUCAACCAAAUGGCAACAGACGCACCGUUAAUGGCUCCUCCCACCUCUUACUCUUCAAGUAUAUUCAUUCCUAGAAUCUAACUGUCUUUCUGCUGAAAAAUCUCAACUUUCUUGAUGGAAACUACUGGGUUUUCUUCUCCGAGACCAGAUGCUUUUCCGACACGUCUUAGGGUUCUUGUUGUUGAUGAUGAUCCCACCUGGUUGAAGAUUCUUGAGAAGAUGCUCAAGAAGUGUUCGUAUCAAGAAUCUCGAACUGGAAUUCUGUACAACCCAGCAGUGACCACCCAGAAGUCAAAGCACCGCCGACGAGGACCACCGAUUUUUUGACACGUGAAAAGAUACUCAAUAUCUAGUGCCACUAUUCUUUUCAAGUUUCACUGCGCGUAAUGAAUAUCCAAGGUUUACGCUUUUGUCUUCUCUCUGUCCAAUUCUAAAUUCUGUUUUUGGCGAGAAAUAAAAAAACUUAACCGAAUUAUGGGGAAGAUAACGAGGUUGAUUACUGGUGGGGUGCAGUACAAUGAAGUGGGUGUUGGUUUAUGUGAAUUUUUUUUUUGUUAUGAGACAUUGGAUGCACAAUCUUCUCUUCUGUCCAAUUCCAAAAUUCAAUUGUUGUGUUAUGAGACAUUGGAUUGGUUUCCUAAUUAAUUAAUGGUAUAUUUUAUCA
This is an RNA transcript of Olea europaea var. sylvestris, 1067 nucleotides long. RefSeq lists it as uncharacterized. The transcript has 5 exons. The record is from RefSeq and is a predicted model, not a curated record. NCBI's taxonomy places the organism in Eukaryota, Viridiplantae, Streptophyta, Magnoliopsida, Lamiales, Oleaceae.